CCUCCCUAGGUGUGUGAUUAAAGGUGUGCAUAGCCACUACCUUGCACAAACAUUUUCUUUUGUGUCCUAAAAAUCACUGUGUAACUGUAUGUACAAGCUCGUCAUGUGGUGUGGAGGGGGAAGAAGAAGCCGAACCUGUGAACGGCAAGAGGAGAGCUGGGUCAUCUCCUGGAGACAGGGUUUGCAGUGACCUAUGAUGAUGUGCACAUCGGCUUCACACAGGAAGAGUGGGAUUUGCUGAAUCCUUCUCAGAAAAUUCUCUACAAAAAUGUGAUGAUGGAGACCUACAGGAACCUCACUGCCAUAGGCUACAGUUGGGAAGACUAUAAUAUUGAAGAACACUGUGAACAUUCUAGAAGACAUAGAAGG
Mesocricetus auratus (golden hamster) is the source of this 369-nucleotide long non-coding RNA. RefSeq lists it as uncharacterized. The record is from RefSeq and is a predicted model, not a curated record. The transcript is spliced from 3 exons. NCBI's taxonomy places the organism in Eukaryota, Metazoa, Chordata, Mammalia, Rodentia, Cricetidae.